CAGCAGCCACGGGAAUACGUAGGUGGCAAGCGUUGUCCGGAGUUAUUGGGCGUAAAGGGCUCGCAGGCGGUUUCUUAAGUCUGAUGUGAAAGCCCCCGGCUCAACCGGGGAGGGUCAUUGGAAACUGGGAAACUUGAGUGCAGAAGAGGAGAGUGGAAUUCCACGUGUAGCGGUGAAAUGCGUAGAGAUGUGGAGGAACACCAGUGGCGAAGGCGACUCACUGGUCUGUAACUGACGCUGAGGAGCGAAAGCGUGGGGAGCGAACAGGAUUAGAGACCCGAGUAGUCCCUGUCUCUUAUAC
This 301-nucleotide ribosomal RNA is filed under the name uncultured bacterium. Its description in RNAcentral is "partial 16S ribosomal RNA". It matches the Rfam family "Bacterial small subunit ribosomal RNA", at positions 509 to 807 of the family's 1533-position model. The record is from RNAcentral.